AAAAAAGUGAUCUAAACAUGUCAACACGAGAUCUAGUUUUGAAGUUCUCAUCGUGGUGGAUUUUUUAUAUGAAAACGAUUUUUCAAUCAAAAUUGACGGUUUGAGCUAUAAAACAUUUUCGAAAUAGUGAGGAUUUACAAUUACAUCAGGUUUUCUGUGCUCUACUGUUUUUGCAUGAGGAGAGAAUGUUGGAGGAGCAAUUUUUACGCCCCGGUAAUUUCCAUGUAAACAUGAUGGUAACUGACGUACCACAUAGGUGAUAACUUACUUAGCCUAGGUCUGGUAACUUUUCACCCGAAAAAAAAUCAUCGAAACAUACCAACAUGGGAUCUAGUUUUGAAGGUUUCGUCGCGACGAAUCUUUUAUGUGAAAAAGGUUUUUCAAUCGGACCAACGGUUUGAGCUACAAAACAUCUUGAAGUUUAAUUUCUAAUGGAAUCUUUGCUGACAUCAUCUUUUUUUCUUAUCUACAUGCAUGCAUUGUUAAUUGGGUUCAAUAGGACGUGCACUCCAUGCAAAACAAAAUAUG
Molecule: ribosomal RNA, 528 nt
Filed under: Triticum aestivum (bread wheat)
Lineage: Eukaryota; Viridiplantae; Streptophyta; Magnoliopsida; Poales; Poaceae
Description: partial small subunit ribosomal RNA
Source: RNAcentral